RNAcentral lists this long non-coding RNA (431 nucleotides) under Ixodes scapularis (black-legged tick). Its description in RNAcentral is "uncharacterized LOC115325381". The record is from RNAcentral. Lineage: Eukaryota; Metazoa; Arthropoda; Arachnida; Ixodida; Ixodidae.
GACAGCGGCUACUCCUGUCAACCAUGGCUGAUGACGCCAUUCCUGUCGCCGUCAUCAGCAGCCGAGGUCGCAUACAAUACGGCACACACGACGACAAGAAGCAUUGUUGAACGGACAAUCGGCCAACUCAAGCGGAGGUUCCAUUGCCUUCACGCUGAGCUCCGAAUGGCUCCAGAACGGUGCUGCGACAUCAUUGUCGCGUGCUGUGCCCUCCACAACCUGGCCAAGAGGUACCCCUGCAGGGCACCCGUGGCCGCCAUCCCCGCUGAGGUUCCCGUUGAGCCCGUAGCAGCCAACCGUGCUGAGAGCAACGAGGCCCGAGACUUUAUUGUCAACCAUUUCUUCGGCUAAGUAUCCUGCUGUCGCUCGGCCCUUCUCUGGUACUGCUGUGCAGCCUCACGGGUCCAGCGCUGGUUGUGCUGCACAACAGG